CUAGAGGAACAAGGAUGAUUUCACAGACUCAUCUGAUCUGGUUCCUAGCGCUGUGGAUUCAGGAUGCCAAGGGGGAGACUGUGCUGACUCAGACUCCAGAAUCCCUAGCAGUGUCUCCUGGAGACACAGUCACUAUCCGCUGCAAAGCCAGUUCCAGUGUUUACAGCUAUAUGGCCUGGUACCAACAGAAAUCAGGACAAGCUCCUAAGCUCCUUAUCCACAGUGCCUCCACCCGUCCCUCUGGGAUCCCAGACCGGUUCAGUGGCAGUGGGUCUGGCACCGACUUCACAUUCACCAUCAGCAGAGUUGAAACUGAUGAUGCUGGAGAUUAUUACUGUCAGCAUUUCUACGGUACCCCUCUCACACAGUGA
Non-coding RNA from Pelodiscus sinensis (Chinese soft-shelled turtle), 371 nucleotides. The record is from the annotation of a RefSeq genome assembly. NCBI's taxonomy places the organism in Eukaryota, Metazoa, Chordata, Testudines, Trionychidae.